This 266-nucleotide long non-coding RNA is filed under the name Mytilus galloprovincialis (Mediterranean mussel). Lineage: Eukaryota; Metazoa; Mollusca; Bivalvia; Mytilida; Mytilidae. The record is from RNAcentral.
AAGUUUAGAAGAUGUUAAAUAUUCUUUUAAGUUCUUGUGUUUCUGGUAUGCAAUAAUGGGUGAUUUCAUCACGAGACUUGAUGUGUCUGUUUUUCAUACACAUUAUCUUAAGGUUCUCAUGUUAAUCUGUUUACGUUUAGUAGUAAGUUCAAAUUGACCUGUUAGCAGGCAAUAUAAUGAAUAAGUGGAUUUUGUAUUACUGAUCACUGUCUCUGUUGGAGAGAUAAGUGUUGCAGUAUUUGUUACAAUAAUAAAACUCUAUUGAA